Non-coding RNA from Gossypium hirsutum (cotton), 119 nucleotides. Lineage: Eukaryota; Viridiplantae; Streptophyta; Magnoliopsida; Malvales; Malvaceae. The record is from Rfam.
GGGUGCGAUCAUACCAGCACUCAUGCACCGGAUCCUAUUAAAACUACACAGUUAAACGUGCUUGAGCGAGAGUAGUACUAGGAUGGGUGACCUCCUGGGAAGUCCUCGUGUUGCACCCC